UCCUACGGGGGGCUGCAGUAGGGAAUAUUCCGCAAUGGGCGAAAGCCUGACGGAGCAACGCCGCGUGAGUGAAGAAGAUCUUCGGAUUGUAAAGCUCUGUCAACAGGGACGAUAAUGACGGUACCUGAGAAGGAAGCCACGGCAAACUACGUGCCAGCAGCCGCGGUAAUACGUAGGUGGCAAGCGUUGUCCGGAAUAACUGGGCGUAAAGCGCAUGUAGACGGCAUAGCAAGCCAAGUGUGAAAUUUAGGGGCUUAACCUCUAAACUGCGCUUGGAACUGCUGAGCUUGAGUGCAGGAGAGGCAAGUGGAAUUCCCAGUGUAGCAGUGAAAUGCGUAGAUAUUGGGAGGAACACCAGUGGCGAAGGCGACUUGCUGGACUGCAACUGACGUUGAGAUGCGAAAGCUAGGGGAGCAAACGGGAUUAGAUACCCUGGUAGUCUGG
This 444-nucleotide ribosomal RNA is filed under the name uncultured Eubacteriales bacterium. Its description in RNAcentral is "bacterial SSU rRNA". It matches the Rfam family "Bacterial small subunit ribosomal RNA", at positions 337 to 798 of the family's 1533-position model. Lineage: Bacteria; Bacillati; Bacillota; Clostridia; Eubacteriales. The record is from RNAcentral.